UACAGAGGGGGCAAGCGUUGUUCGGAAUUACUGGGCGUAAAGGGCGCGUAGGCGGCCUUCUAAGUCGAACGUGAAAUCCCCGGGCUCAACCCGGGAACUGCGUCCGAGACUGGAAGGCUCGAAUCCGGGAGAGGGAUGUGGAAUUCCAGGUGUAGCGGUGAAAUGCGUAGAUAUCUGGAGGAACAUCGGUGGCGAAGGCGGCAGCCUGGACCGGUAUUGACGCUGAUGCGCGAAAGCGUGGGUAGCAAACAGG
Molecule: ribosomal RNA, 253 nt
Filed under: uncultured bacterium
Lineage: Bacteria
Description: partial 16S ribosomal RNA
Rfam family: Bacterial small subunit ribosomal RNA
Source: RNAcentral